Molecule: long non-coding RNA, 838 nt
Organism: Apis dorsata (giant honeybee)
Lineage: Eukaryota; Metazoa; Arthropoda; Insecta; Hymenoptera; Apidae
Exons: 3
Source: RefSeq, a predicted model, not a curated record
UUUUAACGUACAGCUGAUGAAAAUCUAACUCAUCGUAUUCAAGAUAUUUAAACAUUUGUAAAAAUAAAAUUAAUAAAUAAAAUCAUUAUUAUUAAAAAAGAUAGUGUUAAUACAAGUCACUCAAAAUAUAAGAAGUAAUAAAUGGAAAAAGUUUAGAAAAAAGUACACAUGAUAAUUCACAACUGGAUAGUUACACAAAAUUUUCAUUUUACUUCUGCAAUUCAUAAUUCCAAUAAAUCUUAAGACAAUACACUUAGAGAAAAUGUUCAAGUGAAAGCAAUAACACUUGUCCCUUGUAGACCUAAAAUCGAUUUGCCUGCGGCUAUUCACCCCUAUAAAACAUGCAACUGCAGCAGACUAUUGUGAAAUGAUCGAACAAAAAUUUCUGAUUUCAAUUUAAAAUCAAAUUAUCCAACGUCAUACAAAAUCCGCUCUCAACUAAAGUUUUACUUUCAACAAAUAUUAUUUAAGAGAAUAUUUAAUCAGUAGAUUCUGAAUCGACCAUUUCAUAUGCAACAAUCUAAUAAUAAGUGAAUUACGAUCGAAUACCGUGAACCGAUGUUCAACAGAUGUGAAACGAGAAGCAAGAAUAAAAAGAAAAUAAUCCACACUCGUUAAAUCAGCGUACAGGAGUAGUUUGAGCCAUUACUCUGGAAAGAAAGAUGCUAGAAAAAGUUCAAAGGAGUACCGUACGCUUUGAUUAUUGGCACACGCCAUUGCUAAUAGCAGUCGUUCAAAAAUGAACGGGAAACGAGAAAUGUUGGAAUAGUAUUUCUUUUCCAACAUUUUCCAGUAUUUCUUUUUAGAAGCUUUGAUAAUUAAGUGAGUUUAAUUUUUU